This 492-nucleotide ribosomal RNA is filed under the name uncultured bacterium. Its description in RNAcentral is "partial 16S ribosomal RNA". It matches the Rfam family "Bacterial small subunit ribosomal RNA", at positions 28 to 523 of the family's 1533-position model. The record is from RNAcentral.
GACGAACGCUGGCUGCGUGCUUAACACAUGCAAGUCGAACGCUGAAACCCUGGUGCUUGCACCGGGGUGGAUGAGUGGCGAACGGGUGAGUAACACGUGAGUAACCUGCCCCCGACUUCGGGAUAAGCCCGGGAAACUGGGUCUAAUACCUGAUAUGAGCGCCCCUCGCAUGAGGGAUGCUGGAAAGUCUUUUCGGUAGGGGGUGGGCUUGCGGCCUAUCAGUUUGUUGGUGUGGUAAUGGCUCACCAAGACGACGACGGGUAGGCGGCCUGAGAGGGCGACCGGCCACACUGGGACUGAGACACGGCCUAGACUCCUACGGGAGGCAGCAGUGGGGAAUAUUGCACAAUGGGGGAAACCCUGAUGCAGCGACGCAGCGUGCGGGAUGACGGCCUUCGGGUUGUAAACCGCUUUCAGCAGGGAAGAAGCCCCUUGGGGUGACGGUACCUGCAGAAGAAGUACCGGCUAACUACGUGCCAGCCGCCGCCGUAA